CCAAACAAAACACCAAACUGACUUUCAGUGAACAAAUCAGCGAAUAGAUUCAGCAAACUGAUUCAGCGAACUGACAAAAAUCUGCAGGGCUUUUAUUGAGAAAAUACAAGGCUAUAUCAGUUAUCCAGCCUGUUUUUUUCUUCUUCUUCUUAUGAUCUGGUAUUAACAAAAGCAAAUACACAUAUUCAGGUUACUUAUGAAGGUUUUCAAACUUCUUAGGUGGAAGCUCUAGGUCCAUGUCUAGACCAACUUACAAGUUUUGAUGUCGUGGAAGAGCCAAAGGACUCGGUCACUGUGAACUGUGUUGCGGGCAGU
Helianthus annuus (common sunflower) is the source of this 315-nucleotide long non-coding RNA. RefSeq lists it as uncharacterized. The record is from RefSeq and is a predicted model, not a curated record. Lineage: Eukaryota; Viridiplantae; Streptophyta; Magnoliopsida; Asterales; Asteraceae. The transcript has 3 exons.